AUCGCUUCUUGGCCUUUUGGCUAAGAUCAAGUGUAGUAUCUGUUCUUAUCAGUUUAAUAUAGGAAACGGGAAUGAUUCAGCUGGAAUUUCUAUGAUAGUAAUGGACACUUUAGCCACAAAGGAAAUUUUGAAAUUGUUUUGUAAUCAGGUACUAACAAUUUACUUUCUAGCAUUCCACAGCAGAUUCAAGUUUUUUCUU
Small nuclear RNA from Suricata suricatta (meerkat), 199 nucleotides. Its record names the gene U2. It matches the Rfam family "U2 spliceosomal RNA". From Rfam's summary of the family: U2 is a small nuclear RNA (snRNA) component of the spliceosome (involved in pre-mRNA splicing). Complementary binding between U2 snRNA (in an area lying towards the 5' end but 3' to hairpin I) and the branchpoint sequence (BPS) of the intron results the bulging out of an unpaired adenosine, on the BPS, which initiates a nucleophilic attack at the intronic 5' splice site, thus starting the first of two transesterification reactions that mediate splicing. The record is from Ensembl. NCBI's taxonomy places the organism in Eukaryota, Metazoa, Chordata, Mammalia, Carnivora, Herpestidae.